CCCUUAGAUGUUCUGGGCCGCACGCGCGCUACACUGACGAAUGCAACGAGCUUAUAACCUUGGCCGAAAGGUCUGGGUAAUCUCCAAAUUUCGUCGUGAUGGGGAUAGAUUAUUGCAAUUAUUAAUCUUCAACGAGGAAUGCCUAGUAAGCGCAAGUCAUCAGCUUGCGUUGAUUACGUCCCUGUCCUUUGUACACACCGCCCGUCGCUCCUACCGAUUGAAUGGUCCGGUGAAGCGCUCGGACCGCGGCCUCUUGACGGUUUUCCGUCGAUUGGCUGUGGGAAGUUCGUUAAACCUUAUCAUUUAGAGGAAGGAGAAGUCGUAACA
This 327-nucleotide ribosomal RNA is filed under the name uncultured eukaryote. Its description in RNAcentral is "partial 18S ribosomal RNA". It matches the Rfam family "Eukaryotic small subunit ribosomal RNA", at positions 1470 to 1796 of the family's 1831-position model. The record is from RNAcentral.